RNAcentral lists this ribosomal RNA (861 nucleotides) under uncultured Acidobacteriota bacterium. RNAcentral describes it as "bacterial SSU rRNA". It matches the Rfam family "Bacterial small subunit ribosomal RNA", at positions 56 to 896 of the family's 1533-position model. Lineage: Bacteria; Pseudomonadati; Acidobacteriota. The record is from RNAcentral.
UGCAAGUCGUACGCGGUGUGGAGCAAUCCAUGAGUAGAGUGGCAAACGGGUGAGUAACACGUGGGUGACCUGCCUUCGAGUGGGGGAUAACGUCCCGAAAGGGACGCUAAUACCGCAUAACAUGCUGUCUUUUAAGAGAGAGACAUCAAAGCCGGGGACCGCAAGGCCUGGCGCUAGAAGAGGGGCCCGCGCCUGAUUAGCUAGUUGGUGGGGUAAUGGCUCACCAAGGCAACGAUCAGUAUCCGGCCUGAGAGGGCGGACGGACACACUGGGACUGAGACACGGCCCAGACUCCUACGGGAGGCAGCAGUGGGGAAUUGUUCGCAAUGGGCGCAAGCCUGACGACGCAACGCCGCGUGGAGGAUGAAGACCUUCGGGUCGUAAACUCCUUUCGAUCGAGACGAAUGGCCUCCGGGCUAACAUCCUGGAGGAGUGACGGUACCGAGAGAAGAAGCCCCGGCUAACUCCGUGCCAGCAGCCGCGGUAAUACGGGGGGGGCAAGCGUUGUUCGGAAUUACUGGGCGUAAAGGGCUCGUAGGCGGCCAACUAAGUCAUACGUGAAAUCCCUCGGCUUAACCGGGGAACUGCGUCUGAUACUGGAUGGCUUGAGUUCGGGAGAGGGAUGCGGAAUUCCAGGUGUAGCGGUGAAAUGCGUAGAUAUCUGGAGGAACACCGGUGGCGAAGGCGGCAUCCUGGACCGAUACUGACGCUGAGGAGCGAAAGCCAGGGGAGCAAACGGGAUUAGAUACCCCGGUAGUCCUGGCCCUAAACGAUGAAUGCUUGGUGUGGCGGGUAUCGAUCCCUGCCGUGCCGAAGCUAACGCAUUAAGCAUUCGGCCUGGGGAGUACGGUCGCAAGGCUG